AUGACCAUUAACAAGGCUCAAGGGCAGACAAUCCCGAUUGUUGGUGUCUACCUACCCAAUCCCGUGUUCUCUCAUGGUCAACUCUAUGUUGCUUUGUCUCGAGCCACCGCAAAGAGAAACAUAAAGAUACUCAUUCAGAAGGAGAAGCCGAAGGAGAAGUCCAACAAGCAAAAGGACAAACCAAAGAAAAGACCGACCGUGUCAUUACUAACCUCGAUGAAGAACAUCGUCUACAAGGAAGUCCUUACAGGCUGA
This 255-nucleotide ribosomal RNA is filed under the name Triticum aestivum (bread wheat). Its description in RNAcentral is "partial small subunit ribosomal RNA". The record is from RNAcentral. Lineage: Eukaryota; Viridiplantae; Streptophyta; Magnoliopsida; Poales; Poaceae.